CGAAGGAUGCAAGCGUUAUCCGGAUUCAUUGGGUUUAAAGGGUGCGUAGGCGGACUUGUAAGUCAGUGGUGAAAUCUCUCAGCUUAACUGAGAAACUGCCAUUGAUACUGCAGGUCUAGAGUAUAGAUGACGUUGGCGGAAUAUGACAUGUAGUGGUGAAAUACUUAGAUAUGUCAUAGAACACCGAUUGCGAAGGCAGCUAACGAAACUAUAACUGACGCUGAGGCACGAAAGUGCGGGGAUCAAACAGGAUUAGAUACCCUGGUAGUCCGCACCGUAAACGAUGAUUACUCGUUGUUGGCGAUAUGACAGUCAGCGACCAAAGCGAAAGCGAUAAGUAAUCCACCUGGGGAUACGGCCGGACAACGGUG
RNAcentral lists this ribosomal RNA (371 nucleotides) under uncultured organism. Its description in RNAcentral is "bacterial SSU rRNA". It matches the Rfam family "Bacterial small subunit ribosomal RNA", at positions 526 to 896 of the family's 1533-position model. The record is from RNAcentral.